Molecule: small RNA, 59 nt
Filed under: Sinorhizobium meliloti 2011
Lineage: Bacteria; Pseudomonadati; Pseudomonadota; Alphaproteobacteria; Hyphomicrobiales; Rhizobiaceae
Description: putative ncRNA
Source: RNAcentral
GUAAACCAGAUCGAGCCGUCGGAGUGCACCACGGCGUCGUUCGGCGAGUUGAGCCGCUU